This is a long non-coding RNA of Felis catus (domestic cat), 4399 nucleotides long. RefSeq lists it as uncharacterized. The transcript is spliced from 4 exons. The record is from RefSeq and is a predicted model, not a curated record. NCBI's taxonomy places the organism in Eukaryota, Metazoa, Chordata, Mammalia, Carnivora, Felidae.
UUUAGAAGGUGCAAUGAAUAGGAUAAAGACCAAGGACAGAUUUCUUAUUAUUAACUACAAUAUCACACCUCCCCAUCAGGCUGACCACAGGAUCUAAGUGGCUCUGAAUCCUCCCAGGUUCUCCUCUGGCUUUUGUACACCCUGGUUCCUCUGCUGGGAACACUCUUUCCUCCAGGCCUCCUCUUAGCUGUUUCCAAACCUCUCUCAGCCAACAACCUCACUCUGCUCCCACAGCACCUCACACCUCUCCCAUUAUAACUGCCCACCCACCCUAAAUUGAAACUGCACCCAUCCACCUGCUGGAGAAAGCUUACACAUAGAAAUGAAAACAAGCAGAACCAAGCCAGUGGGAGAUACGGAGAGCAAGCACCAAUGAGAUGCAGUCAUCAGCUGGACAUUCUUCCCACAGGGCUCGAAAGUAAGAGGAUGUGAAGCCUGGAGCUGCUGCAGCCAACUUGUGACUCUGAGGUUAGGGCUUGAAAUAGGAACCAAUGUAAAGGACAAUAGGAACAAGGAAAGAGAGACAAGCCACAUCCCAGUGUUAUCACAGCAGCUCCCCUUCCACAUCUAUGGCCUCUGGGAUUUCUGGUCAUAAUGACAACAAUUACCCUGAAGCAGUUCUUAGCCCAGGCUACACAUUAGAAUUACCUGGGACGGACGGAAGGAAGGAAGGAAGGAAGGAAGGAAGGAAGGAAGGAAGGAAGGAAGGGGAAAAGGAAAAAGCAGUCAAGCUUGGUCCCAUCCCCCUGAGAUUCUGAUGAUUCACAUGGUCUGGAGUGGAGCAGCCCCGGUAGGAGGAGGAGGAGGAGGAGAAAAAGGAAAAGGACAAGAGGAGAAAAAUAGCAUUUCAGCCAUAUCUUUCUCAUUUAGAUACACUUGGUCUGAUAAAGCCUGGCUCCAUGCUAUUCAUGCAAAACAAACACCAGAUAAAUUUAGUUUCCUUUCUCCUCCCUAUCCGUCUGGAAAAGUGGGAACUCCUUGACAUUUUGGUGGAAAGCAGGGGCAGAGACUGUAACAAGAAAGCCUUCAUUCUAGAAAGCAAACCUAGGGAACUCUUUUGGAAGAAGGAGGGGCAUUCCUUCACUCACUGAGUCAGCGGAUGGUCUGGAAACAAGAUGCUGAACAAGCCUGGAGGAGGAGGUCGGUAAGCAGGUGGAAAGUGCCUGCUCAGUCAGGGAGGGGGUGGGACAAUUUCCCUGAGAGUCAUGGGCCCCACUGCGGACUCACUGUAGGAGUCAGGAGGGAAAGGGGGUGGGCAUGGCUGGCUGGGCAGGGAGAUCAGCUGACUCAAAUGUGUGCAGACGGAGCAAGGCAUGCCCUGGUCUCCAGCUGCUGAGGUGAGGUGAGGGAAGGGAGGGCCCUCAGGCCAGAGCAUGGGGGUCUUGAGCACCUAGAGGGCCGUGGGCAAUGCACCAAGCAGUCUGGACUUUGCCCGAGCCAGCUGGACCCAGGAGGCCCAAGAAAACGAGAAAAUGCUGGCAAGGGGCAGAGGCUCUGACCAUCCCCAGGUCCACCGUAGGUCUGAGAUGACACCCUGAAUGUAUUUAAAACUGUUUUGGACUGAGCCCCUGGUCAGUGCCGGCUCCUGUCUACACACACUGACGUGGCCCUGGAUGGAAGGUGUGAAGGGAGAGCCCUUUGGGGCUUGACAAGACAAUUCAUGAAACACCCCAACACCUGCCAUCUAUUUGCAAACACCCUGGGGCAGCUGAUGGAAACACUGGCCAGGUGGCUGCUCCUGGAACACGGAGACCUGCUCCUGUCCCUGCAGGUGGCUGCAAACUCCUCAGGUUCUGGCGCGGCAGGCACUGCCUCCCCAGAGAGAGACCUCGUUCUCCUGUCUGAACUCCUCUCUCAGCCUGAGGUGGAGCCCUAACCCUCACCCAGGCUCACCCUGGCCUGUGAGUGACCCACGUGUCCCCUUACCACUGGCGCUCCUCAGGCAGCCUGACUCCUGUCUGCAGGCAGGAAAGGCUCCUCCCAGCUGAACCGCGGAGCCAGAAAUGGAGGAAGUCACGGCGACAAUAAGAGCAAAACGAUCCAGACAAAAUGUGUUACUAUUGCUGACCACUGAUGACACUUACACUGUCAACAACCCUACAGGGUAAGUAGAAGGACUGCCCAGCGGAACUGGCUCAGCAUAUGAAGUUCUACUUUACUUUUCAGUUUGGGACUGCAGCAGGAAACGAGAAGCAGGUCCCUGGCCAUACUCCAGCAACGUGGCAGCUCAGUUACUGCUCCCAAAAUGCCUCUGCAGCUGUCAACUCACCCCAAGGAUCUUUAUUUAUGGAACCAGGGUGCCUUCUUCAAGAAACAGAAAUGACGCUGUGUGCUGGCUGGGAAAGUUGCCUCCGGCUUCUUCUACCUUCAAGUCAGAGCCAACGGCACCUGGAGCAGGUAGAGCGAGCCAGCCAGUGAGCCUGGUGGUCAGAGCUACACUGACUUCUCCCGCAGUCUCCACAUGGCUGAGACCACAGCCCGGCUCCAGAGGUCGGCCACACAGGCCAGAUGCCUAGUAACCACGGCGUGGAAUGGAGGAGAGUAUCACAACCCAACCGCCUCUGAGCUGCCCGCUGCUUCUCGGGUACCCGGGAGGUCUUGGCAAAUCACCUCCCUCAGCUCCAGCGGUGAGCCCCUGACCAAGCCCUGCGCGAUCAGAGCAUCCAAAUGCCUGACCACAGUGACGGGUUCAGAGACAGGCACGUGACCUAAGUCAGACCAAUGAGAUCCAGUCCUGGGAUUUGUGUGCAAACAGCCAGAAGAGAGACAUUACCUUCCCACAGAGGGCUCUGAAGCUGACUGGGUGGAAGCCUGAUCCUCAGGUGGGAUCAAGUGGAGCAAGUGCCUGAGACGAAGGCAGCUCAGAGGACAGCAGUGCUAAGCGGUGAAGAGAAAGGCAGAGUCCUAAUGAUCUUGUUUGAAGCUCUGGAUCUGGCCAUAUCUGAGGCCAGUGGCACCCUUGAGCUUUCCAGUUUCAUCAGCCAACUAAUUCUCCUUUUGCCUGAGCCAGUCUGAGAUGGGUUUCUGUCACUCACAACCAAGAGUCCUGGAUAAGGACUCCCAGAUUCCUAAGUUACCUCUGGUUUACCAGAGUGUCUAGGAAGGUUACUUGCUGGGGCGCAAGGCAGUAGUGAGUGACUUGCUCAAGGUCGUGAAACUGCUUCGUGAGAGAGCGGAGACCAGAACUUGGCUUGCAGACAGUUCUCCAUAUGACAUCCUGCCUCUUCUCCUGUCUAGGGGUCUGGCAUUGGCCCCAACCAAAGCUACCCUAAAGCCAACAUAUAGAGUGAGAUGCUCACUUAGCAACACCCCACCCCACUCUCAAGCCAUGGCAGGGUCCAAACCACAGACAAGCAGAGGUGAAAAGAGAGCUGCCCCAUAGCACUCAGAGCAGAGGCUGUCUCCAGCCUGAAGGUGGAUUUUUCAUCUGCACUUGAAUCUGGAGUCAGUGGGGAACCAGAGAGAAGGGAAAAGAGAAGAGUCCCGAGGGGUCGUCUCCAGUUUGUCCCUUGACUCAGCUGCUGCCACUGGGGAGUCAGCCUCAAGGACUCACACACCAGUCACCGUGCCUGCUGACUUUGCUGGCAAAGCACUCUCUGUCCUUGGACUUACACACUGGGCUGGGGAGGGAUGGUUUGCCCCAAAUUACAGAGCAUAACUGCCCACAGUGAUAACUAUCUGCCUGGCUCCCGUGCUCAAUGUCACGAUGUUGAGAGUGCGGCUGGAAAUCCUGAGAAUAAGCUUUUCUCCUUUGUUGGCUAACCUCUCCUUAUUGUUGUCAUUUCCUUGUAUUGUGGUUUGGGAAUAUAGUCUAUAUAUGAUAGUCAUUCUUUAAUGUUUGUUGAGACUAGCUUUGGGCCAGUAAGUGAUCAACUUUUGUAAAUGUUCCCCAUAUGCAUGAAAAAUAUGUAUUUAAAUGACAAAUUCAAGGUUAGUAUUCUCUAUGUAUUUAUCCUACCAAGGCUGAUAAAGAUGACAUUCAAAAUUUCUGUGUCUUUACUAAUUUUUUUUUGUCUACAAGAGCUCUUAUGUUCUAGAAAGCUGUAGCAAAAUCGCUCACUAAAAUUUUAAACAUUUCCAUUUCUUCUCAUAAUUCUGUGUACUUUCUGUGUAUUUUGAAAUAAUGUUGGUAGGGGAUACAAGUCCAAGUAUAUCUUCCUAGUGAACCGUUCCUUUGACAUAUGACCUUAUGACUGACAUAAUGAUAUAUGAUUGACAUAUGAUUGACAUAAUUUGACCUUAUGAAUGACAUAAGGAAGGCCCUGUUUCUCAUUCAUUUUGUCUGAUAAUAACAUUGCUACAUUGGUAGGGAAACCUGGGUGGCUCAGUCAGUUAAGCAUCUGACUUCGGCUCAGGUCAUGAUCUUGCAGUUUGUGAGUUCGAGCCCUGUGUUGGGAUC